GGAGCCUACGGGGGGCAGCAGUGGGGAAUAUUGCACAAUGGGGGAAACCCUGAUGCGGCAACGCCGCGUGAGUGAAGAAGUAUUUCGGUAUGUAAAGCUCUAUCAGCAGGGAAGAAGAUGACGGUACCUGAUUAAGAAGCCCCGGCUAACUACGUGCCAGCAGCCGCGGUAAUACGUAGGGGGCAAGCGUUAUCCGGAUUUACUGGGUGUAAAGGGCGUGUAGGCGGGAGUGCAAGUCAGAUGUGAAAACUAUGGGCUCAACCCAUAGCCUGCAUUUGAAACUGUACUUCUUGAGUGCUGGAGAG
RNAcentral lists this ribosomal RNA (305 nucleotides) under uncultured bacterium. RNAcentral describes it as "bacterial SSU rRNA". It matches the Rfam family "Bacterial small subunit ribosomal RNA", at positions 334 to 656 of the family's 1533-position model. The record is from RNAcentral.